GAUGAAGAACGCAGCGAAAUGCGAUAAGUAAUGUGAAUUGCAGAAUUCAGUGAAUCAUCGAAUCUUUGAACGCACAUUGCGCCCGCUAGUAUUCUGGCGGGCAUGCCUGUCCGAGCGUCAUUUCAACCCUCAAGCCCCCGGGCUUGGUGUUGGGGAUCGGCGAGCCUCCGCGCCCGCCGUCCCCUAAAUCUAGUGACGGUCUCGCUGUAGCUUCCUCUGCGUAGUAGCACACCUCGCACUGGGAAACAGCGCGGCCACGCCGUUAAACCCCCAACUUCUGAACGUUUGACCUCGGAUCAGGUAGGAAUACCCGCUGAACUUAAGCAUAUCAAUAAGCGGAGGA
Molecule: unclassified non-coding RNA, 343 nt
Filed under: soil metagenome
Description: partial contains 5.8S ribosomal RNA, internal transcribed spacer 2, and large subunit ribosomal RNA
Rfam family: 5.8S ribosomal RNA (bases 1-120)
Source: RNAcentral